This 467-nucleotide ribosomal RNA is filed under the name uncultured eukaryote. RNAcentral describes it as "bacterial SSU rRNA". It matches the Rfam family "Eukaryotic small subunit ribosomal RNA", at positions 208 to 668 of the family's 1831-position model. The record is from RNAcentral.
UAUUAGACCUUAAAACCGAUUACAAUUUAUUGUAAUUUUAAAAUGAAUUAAAAUAAGUUUAUGAAUCGCAGAUCAUUUUGUGAUGAUAAGAAUGAAUUUCUGCCCUAUCAACUUUCGAUGGUAAUGUAGUGGAUUACCAUGGUGAUGACGGGUAACGGGGAAUUAGGGUUUGAUUCCGGAGAAAAGGCCUGAGAGACGGCCAUUACUUCUAAGGAAGGCAGCAGGCGCGUAAAAUUACCCAAUCCUAAUACGGGGAGGUAGUGACAAGAAAUAUUGAUAUUGGACCCAAAGGGUACAAUGAUUGAAAUGAGAACAAUAUAAAAACUUAACGAACUAACAAUUGGAGGGGCAAGUCUGGUGCCAGCAGCCGCGGUAAUUCCAGCUCCAAGAGUGGUAUAUUAAAAGUUAGUUUGCGGUUAAAAAAGCUCGUAGUUGAAUUUCUGAAAAUAAUCUUGUGAUUGAUUUAA